UCUUGUGAGCCAUGCAAGUUGGAAAC
This 26-nucleotide non-coding RNA is filed under the name Homo sapiens (human). Lineage: Eukaryota; Metazoa; Chordata; Mammalia; Primates; Hominidae. The record is from RNAcentral.